UACGUAGGUGGCAAGCGUUGUCCGGAUUUACUGGGCGUAAAGAGCGCGCAGGCGGUCGGCCAAGUCGAGUGUGAAAGCCCCCGGCUCAACUGGGGAGGGUCAUUCGAUACUGGUCGACUCGAAGGCAGGAGAGGGAAGCGGAAUUCCCGGUGUAGUGGUGGAAUGCGUAGAUAUCGGGAGGAACACCAGUGGCGAAGGCGGUUGCCUGGAGCUUUGCUGACGCUGAUGCGCGAAAGCGUGGGGAGCGAUCCGG
Molecule: ribosomal RNA, 253 nt
Filed under: uncultured bacterium
Lineage: Bacteria
Description: partial 16S ribosomal RNA
Rfam family: Bacterial small subunit ribosomal RNA
Source: RNAcentral